GCUUGUCUCAAAGAUUAAGCCAUGCAUGUUCAAGUAUAGCAAGUGUACAGUGAAACUGCGAAUGGCUCAUUAAAUCAGUUAUAAUUUAUUUGAUAGUGAAAUUGUACAUGGAUAACCGUGGCAAUUCUAGGGCUAAUACAUGCGUCAAUGGUCGGUCGACCAGUAUUUAUUAGAUACAAAGCCAACGCUGGGUAAAACCAGUUUCCCUUGGUGAUUCAUAAUAAUUAAGCGGAUCGCAUGGCCUUGUGCUAGCGACAGUCCACUCGAUUUUCUGCCCUAUCAUGGUUGAGAUUGUAAGAUAGAGGCUUACAAUGCCUACAACGGGUAACGGGGAAUUAGGGUUCGAUUCCGGAGAGGGAGCCUGAGAAACGGCUACCACAUCCAAGGAAGGCAGCAGG
This 398-nucleotide ribosomal RNA is filed under the name uncultured fungus. RNAcentral describes it as "partial small subunit ribosomal RNA". It matches the Rfam family "Eukaryotic small subunit ribosomal RNA", at positions 30 to 432 of the family's 1831-position model. The record is from RNAcentral. Lineage: Eukaryota; Fungi.